GUGUUUUAGCAGCACAUACACUAAAAUGGGAGCAAUGCAGAGAAUAGCCUGGCCCCUUCCCAAAGUUGGCAUGCAAACUUUGAAGUGUUCAGAGCUGAU
This 99-nucleotide small nuclear RNA is filed under the name Jaculus jaculus (lesser Egyptian jerboa). The record is from RNAcentral. Lineage: Eukaryota; Metazoa; Chordata; Mammalia; Rodentia; Dipodidae.